This is a non-coding RNA of Callithrix jacchus (white-tufted-ear marmoset), 4687 nucleotides long. Lineage: Eukaryota; Metazoa; Chordata; Mammalia; Primates; Cebidae. The record is from RefSeq and is a predicted model, not a curated record.
UCAGGAGUUAGGCACGUGGGUUCAAGCAUGCGCAUUAAGAGACAAAAUGAUGGCGUUUAACUGGCAUAUGACCUUCUUCUGGGAAUGCUAAACUGGAGAGUCAAGAAUUGCGAAGGCUUGAGAUUUUAUUCUACUUUCAAGAUAACAAGAUAGUCUGCCACUGUUUCCUGGAUGUUGGAAGAAGACAUGAAUGUCCUGGGCCCAAAAGAAAGAACUUUAUACUCAUGGCAGAAGGAACCUGUCCAGAAAAAAAUCCUGAGCGUGCCACUGGAUAAAGGUUUAAAUGGGCUUUCUGCCAGUGAACUACAUUUGAUAGUUACGUGGGUGCAGCCCAUGGCAGGAAUCCACACAGCUCACAGGAGAUCUGUGGGGCCCUGGGAUGUUGCAAUGUCACUCUGUCUGGAUGUCCCUGAAAAUGUGUUGGGUACCACCAGGUCUUGGGAUCUCAAGCGGAGUCUGUGGAUGCAUGGAUUGAGAACUGCUCGGCUUCAUCAUCUUGAAGAUCCUGUGUUAAGAUUCACUGAGAGUGGCUGGCAAAAUAUUAAGGGAAAUAUAGGGAAGUUGUAAAUUACAGUCUUAAACUUUGUAGAGGGCCAAAACGUUUCAAUAAGACUGGUUGAAGGCAGCCAGUUCUUAAGUUCUUACAUUAGAACUUUAAAUCAUAGGGUAAAGAUUAGGAAUAAUAAAAGCUUCCUUAGUUAAGUCUAUUUACAUUCUUUUGUCUCUAUUCUGUUUACUCAUAUAAACUUUGUGCUGGAUGGUCCUCUCAAAAAGAAGUUGAAGAAUUACCCAUUAAUAGUGUUUAUUGACGUGAUCUCAAGUGGUGACCCUGACAUGAUCGAGGUUUCAGUCCUGCUCAGCUAUAUGUAUAUAUAUAUAUUUUUUGAGAUGGAGUCUUGCUCUGUUGCCUAUGCUGGAAUGCAAUAGCAUGAUCUUGGCUCACUGCCACCUCCACUUCCCAGGUUCAAGCAAUUCUCCUGCAUCAGCCUCCCAAGUAGUUGGGAUUACAGGUGCCACCACACCUGGCUAAUUUUUUAUAUUUUUGGUAAAGACAGGGUUUCACUAUGUUGGCCAGGCUGGUCUCAAACUCCUGACCCCAAGUGAUCCACCCUCCUCGGCCUCCCAAAGUGCAGGGAUUAUAGGUGUGAGCCUUAAGAAUCUAAAAUGAUGACUAAUAUAGAUUCAUUUAUAAUUCCAACUCAGUCCUUCUUCAUGUGCAUUUGUAGGCAGUUGUGUAGUUCAGGCAUUUAGUUUAUAAUCCUGGAAUAAAGUAUAAAAAAGGCCAGUGGUGAAAAGCAUGGACUUUGAAGCCAAAAUACUUGGGUUUGAGUCCUGACUCUAUCAAUUCCUAGCUAUGUGACCUUGGGAAAAUUAUUUAAUCAUAAGUACUUUAUGAUUACUGACCCUUGGGAAGACCUAUCUCCCUGGCUAUGAGACUGGUCAUCCUAUCCUGAGGCCUGCUGAGGCCUCAUUGGGGCUGGAGACUGGUCAUCCUAUCCUGAGGCCUGCUGAGGCCUCAUUGGGGCUGGUGGUCAGGUGUUUCAGCAGCAUGUCUGUAUGGUGAUGGCCAUCCCAUCAUUUUCUACCGGAGCCAGGUUGGGAUUCGGGGUUUCCAUUCCCUACUUCCAGAAGAGCCUUAACAAGAUGAAAGUCCAUGUUGUAUUACAAUAAUGGCUCUUCAAUGUGGCCUGGCAGAUCUGUCCCUGAGUUUAUAGAGAGCACCCUCCGUCUUCUUCCAGUACAGAAGAAGAUGUUGAAAAAAGCCUAUACCCUGUUGUCACUUGCUAACUUUUUGUGGUUUGAUUUCUGGUCAAUUAGGACUGUAAGGGCCACUGAUUUCUCUAGUAAACACUUGGUAGUGGGCCACCUAAGUAAGGAGUGUCCUUGUGCUUGCCAAAAGCAUUAGAUUUUUUUUCUGUAUUCAGAAAUAUUUGCAGAAUACAUUUCUAACAGUUCCAAGUCCAUAUCCAAAGAUACUAUUUGCCUCCUCUAUUUUUUUUUUUUUUUUUUUGAGAUGGAGUUUCAUUCUUGUUGCCCAGGCUGGAGUGCAAUGGUGUGAUUUUGGCUCACUGAAGCUUCUGCUUUUCAGGUUCAAGCGAUUCUCCUGUUUCAGCCUCCCAAGUAGUCAGGAUUACAGGUGCCCACCACCACAUCUAGCUAAUUUUUCUAUUUUUAGUAGAGAUGGGGUUUCACCAUGUUGGCCAGGCUGGUCUCGAACUCUUGACCUUGGGUGAUCCACACUUCUUGGCCUCCCAAAAUGCUGGGAUUAUAGGUGUGUGCCACUGCACCCAGGCUGCUUCCUCUAGUUUUUUAUUCUUCCAUCAGUUCUUCCAUUGUCUUUUUACAUAUCAAAGCUAUAGGGGAGUGACCUCAGGAUGCUCUUUAACAAGUCAUUACCAUCAUAAUGUACACCAUUGACUUAACUCCAGCUUUUGAGUAUUAGUUUGUUCUCACAUUGCUAUAUGGAAAAUAUCCGAGACUGGGUAAUUUAUAAAGGAAAGAGGUUUAAUUGACUCACAGUUCUGUAUGGCUGAGAAGGCCUCAGGAAACUCAGAAUCAUGGCAGAAGGAGAAGGGGAAGAAAGGCACCUUCUCCAUAGGGUGCCAGGAAGGAGAAGUGCCAGCAAGGGAAAUGCCAGGUGCUUAUAAAAGCACCAGACUCAUGAGAACUCAUUAUCAAGAGAACAGCAUGGGGGAAACGACCCCCAUGACUCAAUUACCUCCUACUGGGUGUCUCCCACAACGUGGGGAUUGUGGGGAUACAAUUCAAGAUGAAACUUGGGUGGGGAUACAGCCAAACCAUAUCAGGUAUGGAGGAGAAUACACAUUAUUUAUAAAGUUAGUUCAAUUCUAGAAAUAUUAAAGUCUAAAAACACUUGAGUUUUAAACCAAGAAUAUACAGGUAAAGGGGAGGAGACAAUGCCUUAAUAUGUUAUUCAGUGCCAUUGACACAUGUGAAAAAGAAUAUAUAUCUGAUAAGUGGUCUGUAUUUAAAGCAUAUAAAGAACUAUCACAACUCAAUAAUAAAAAGACAACCCAAUCAAAAAAUGAUCUGAAUAGACAUUUCUCCAAAGAAGAUGUACAAAUGGCCAAUAAGCACACAAAAAGAUGUUCAACAUCAGGGAAGUGAAAAUCAAAACCCUGAGAGUAUUUUAUACCCAGUAUGGCCAUAAUCAGAAAGUUAGAUAAUAUUAAGUGUUGAUGAGUAUGUGGAUAAAUCAGAACCUCAUACAUUGCUGGUGGGAAUAUAAAAUGGUGCAACUACUUUGGAAAACAGUUUGGCAGCUCCUCAAGAAGUUAAACAUAAAGUUACCAUGUGACCCAGCAGUUUUACUCCUAGAUAUAUACCCAAGAGAGAUAAAAGCAUAUGCCCACACAAAACUUGUACCUGAAUAUGCAUACCAGUAUUACUCAUGAUAGCCAAAAGCAAAAGGUGGAAACAACCAAAUUUUGUGAGUUUAGUUAGCUGGAGUUUACCACUGAAAGUCUGGUCAUCUCUGGGUUUGUCAAGCAAGUCCAUUUCAGAUACUGUAAGGCUGAGGAUCUAAUGUUGGACAGUGAUAUAUUCAUCAAAGUCACUCCAAGCCCUGAGGUCUCUUGAAAGCCUAGCCACUGACUUUUCAUGGGUGAGAACCAAGACCUUCCUGCUUAUACAUCUUUCUAACAAUAACCAAUGUGGCAUCAUGAUACAUGUGCUGACAUUGAUCUUCAGUAGCCCGUGCAAGAAUCCUGCCAGUUCUGUGGACCAACCAUCCGGUUUUUAAGUGGGACCCUUAAUUGCUAUUGACGAAUCUGACAUUCUCAGUAUGGGCCUGUGGCCAUUUAUUUGGCUGCUUUGACUUGGGAGGGUGAAAAAUGCACUCAGAAAUGUAAGAGUGUUUGACCCUGCUGGGGGACUCAGUGGCCUAGAACUUGUUACUAGGGCAAUGCUGUGUGUGUCUCUCCCACUCUCAGCCCUGCUUUUUCAGCUGGUGAGAGCAGGGAGCAGUAGAUGCAGGAAGGCACAUCCUGCAAGGCUGAGAUGGAGAGGGAGAUUGAUCUGGGCCGACCAUCCAGGAAGUGGGCGACAUGUGUGAGCCGGGAAGGUGAAAGGCACAUUUGGAGGGCAUGUUAUCUCCUUGGGGAUAGUUUUCAUUUAUAUAACAAAUACUGAGUUCCAGGCAAGGCAGUACUAGAGAGCCACAAGGACUAACCAGCCACUGCCCUAAAGGAGUCCAUGUUGUGAAAUAUGGGUUAGGUGACCAUAUUCACGAAUCUGCUGAUGAGGAUGUCUAAUUGGUUGCAUAGUUGGAUGCAUGGGCAUGGGUGCUAAAUAUUUAAGUCAGGGUGCUUCCAGAAGGCUCUGAAAGUAUGGGUCCAGGAAUGGUGGGAAGGACACAGGUAGUGACAGAACUGGUGUCCUCCAACACUGAGGAUGAGCAACAGAGAGGGCUUGAGCAGCAGAUUUUGGGGGCAAGAUCCGCAUAGUGACUCACAUAUGCGUAUGGUAUAGUGAUCGCCCCUUUCUGCUUCCUUCUUCAACACCCAUUGCACGGUACUCUUCAAGGGCCCGUGUUUUGGGGGACCCUGUCAUAAUCACCCUAUUCUUUAGUGCCUAGUGGACAUCACAUUGAGAAGACAAAGCUUGGCUUUGAAGGAAAGAGCUGGGGCUGUGACCUCAGGCCUGUCAGAGGCGAAGAGAAAAGAGU